This 587-nucleotide ribosomal RNA is filed under the name Shewanella sp. S2.3. RNAcentral describes it as "bacterial SSU rRNA". It matches the Rfam family "Bacterial small subunit ribosomal RNA", at positions 337 to 916 of the family's 1533-position model. The record is from RNAcentral. Lineage: Bacteria; Pseudomonadati; Pseudomonadota; Gammaproteobacteria; Alteromonadales; Shewanellaceae.
UCCUACGGGAGGCAGCAGUGGGGAAUAUUGCACAAUGGGCGCAAGCCUGAUGCAGCCAUGCCGCGUGUGUGAAGAAGGCCUUCGGGUUGUAAAGCACUUUCAGCGAGGAGGAAAGCUUAAGCGUUAAUAGCGUUUAGGUGUGACGUUACUCGCAGAAGAAGGACCGGCUAACUUCGUGCCAGCAGCCGCGGUAAUACGAGGGGUCCAAGCGUUAAUCGGAAUUACUGGGCGUAAAGCGUACGCAGGCGGUUUGUUAAGCGAGAUGUGAAAGCCCCGGGCUCAACCUGGGAACUGCAUUUCGAACUGGCAGACUAGAGUCUUGUAGAGGGGGGUAGAAUUUCAGGUGUAGCGGUGAAAUGCGUAGAGAUCCGAAGGAAUACCGGUGGCGAAGGCGGCCCCCUGGACAAAGACUGACGCUCAUGUACGAAAGCGUGGGGAGCAAACAGGAUUAGAUACCCUGGUAGUCCACGCCGUAAACGAUGUCUACUCGGAAUUUGGUGUCUUGAACACUGGGUUCUCAAGCUAACGCAUUAAGUAGACCGCCUGGGGAGUACGGCCGCAAGGUUAAAACUCAAAGGAAUUGACGG